Long non-coding RNA from Taeniopygia guttata (zebra finch), 4052 nucleotides. RefSeq lists it as uncharacterized. Lineage: Eukaryota; Metazoa; Chordata; Aves; Passeriformes; Estrildidae. The record is from RefSeq and is a predicted model, not a curated record.
CCAAGUUUUUUAGGCAGAAUCGCUUUUGCAAGGUUUGAUGUUUCCACACCAGCCUGCUCCCUGAAGGGUCAUAGAAUCAAUGGUUUGGGUUGGACCUUAAAGAUCACCUAUUUUCAAACUCCCUGCCAUGGACAGGGGCAUCUUCCACUGGACCAGGUUUCUCAGAGCCCCAUCCAACCUGACCUUGAACACUUCCAGGGAUGGGGCAUGCACAGAUUCUCCUAGCACCCCGUGCCAGUGCCUUACUGGUCCCAAAGAGCAGCCAAGGACUUUUGCAGCCUGUGAAUCAUAACAAGAAAACCUGCCAUGGACAGUCUCAAUCCCAGCUUGUGCACACUCCCAUUGUCUCUACCAGAGCUGCUCAGGAACCAGGAUUUUGCCAUUCUGCAAUUUGCAGUGCAGUGGGGGGGGAGUAGUCCUCAGUCCCAGCAGGGAGAUUUGCAUCCUGCAGUGUCCCACAAAAUCCAGCACCCCUCCAAAAUAAAUUGCAGAGAUACCAAAACAUAAUGUGUUGGUGUGUUCAAUUUCCUUUUUGUUUUCUCUCACACGCCAAAUGAUAUUUGUGUAUGAAAACAGAAAAAAAAAAAAAUCAAAAUUACCAGAGCUGAAAUUGAGAAGAGAAGGAAGAUUACAGCAUUUUCCCAUCUCACCAAUAUUGGUAACAACCCUACCCCACAAAAUAUUUAGCCGAAACUGCAUUUUGCCAGAGAACUAUUUUGCCUAAAGAGAAUUUUGAACAUUUUUCCCCAGCUGUUAGUUUAGUUUUGGGUUUUUUUUUUUUUUUCAUCUCAGUCCUGAAGAGCAUGUAUGUGUUUGGGAUUAUAAUAAUUUUGGGGUGAGCUGCUCAUCUGCACGAUGCAGCCGGCAAAUGAGCAGCUCGGUUUGCACCUCGUGGUCUACACACGCUGCGAUGCCGCUGUCAGACGUGCCGGGAUGCGCUCAGCGCCUCCGAGCCCCUUCCAGAGCAUCACCUCCAAAGCCGCGCCCGGCACAAGCUCCGGGCCCCGCAGCCUCCCCGCUGAUCUCGGAUCACCCAAAAUCCCGCUCCGGGGAGGAGAGAGGGGCUGUGCUGCGGGAAUCCGCUUCUGCUGCACCGGCUUUGGCUCAUUCUGGAGUCAACCUCUCUGCUUGGGCAUCCUCCUCCGCAAAUUGAGGAAUAACAACACACUUCAGAGGGGCGGCGGGGGCCUACUGAAACGCCAUUCUGCAUCUGCAGCAGAGCAGAGAAACCCCAACCUUCUGUCUUCUUUCAAGAACUCUGGGUUACUGGAAACUGAGAAGAAAUAACACAACCUUGUCCUCUGUUUGAAAAUGUUCCUGUUUAUUUUGCUUGUGUCUGGGCUCUCCGUGGCCCCUUCUAUCUUAGAUUCCCCCUACAGAAGGUUUUCUCCCCCCCACCCCCGCUAUUUAUAUCCCAUUUAGAGUUAAUUGGGACUGCCUGCCAUCAUGGCUCAGAAAUAAUUACUUUGCCAUAAUUAUUCUUAAAUCGGGAUUUUUACACCUGUGCUAAGGAUGGCUGAUCAAAACACUGGCAUUUCUACUUGUGGACCCUGAAAUGGUGCUAUGGGCAAGGACCCCAGCCCCCACGAAAAACCCCACAGGUACAGAUUGGGGGGGAGAUGCUUUAACAGUCAUCCAUCAACAUUAUUUUGGAAAAACCCUCCUAAAGCCUACAAUGUCCAUUUCACCUCAACUGGACAUAGGAUGAGGCCUUCACCAGCUGUCUCAGCUGCUUGGUUACUAGCUGUACAUGGAUGCUACUUCUGCCCAAGACAUUUUUGGGCAGAAACUGCAUUAUGGUAAACCUCUGCUCCAGCAGCACAAUGUGAGUUGAUUAGUCUGAGAGACACACUGGGAACUAAUGUCCUGACUCAUUCUGUUAAUCAGACAUUUGCAGUAGCCUCCUAAAAAUGUAUUCGUAUUGGCUGGAAGGAGGGCCCCAGUCAGCAUGCAGCACUUGACCAUGCAGGAAACCUGGAUGACCUUGAAAGCCAAAGCAAUAAAAGCAAAUGACAUUGAGUAGUGCUGAAUAUCAGGUCUUGCUCUCAGGGACUGAACAAGCACUGCUGACAUAAGCUGGAGGCUCCUGUGUCAGAAACUACAGGUAUGGCAGACAAGUGUGGGAGGGUCCAUCAGGCACAGAAUGGCUGGGAGUCACUGCUAGGAAGUGUUAAUGCUCUUCCAAGAGCAGGGAGCAAAGGUGUUCCCAGCAGAGCUGGGGAAAUAGCAGUGCUGCUGUCUCGUGUGAAGGUGAGGCACAGACCAGGUGAAGAUUCAUAGUUCUGGUUACACCUUCCUAUAGGGAAUUUUUUUUUUUUUUUUAAUCUCUGGGCUAACUUCUGCAUGAUUUCUCCUCUGAAAUCUGCAUGUCUCAGACAGGAGCACGCAGCACAAAAAUCUGUUCUAUUCACAGCUGCCCUGCACAUGUACAGACACACACACACACUCUUCAAGACAUCUCUAGGUGUGAUAGAGGGACUAGGGACUGAAGCACCUCAGGCCACUUGCACUGCUUGGUUAAGGGACAUCUUCAAAUUUCUCCUGUGCAGUUCAUGUACCUGGCCCCGAUAAGCUGAUGCACAGAUCAGUCUGCUGGGGCACACAGGGUGCCAGCCAGGAUGGAUCAAGGUCAGAUGCCAGCUCAGGAAAGUCAGGCGUAGUCCUACUGCAAGGUUGCUGGUAGCAAAGGCACAUGCUGCCUGCAGCACUGGCACCCAACCAGGUGGGAUGGUGGGAGGAAAUGGGAUCUGGCCCGCUGUGCUGGGAGGCAUGGGGGACAGAGUCCCCUUCACGCUCUGCAGCCAAGCAAACACUGCACUCCUGCCACUUCACUGGGAUUUGCAUGGCAGAUCAGAAGGACAAAUUUCUCUCUGGAUGAUUUAUCACUCAACAUCUCAGCAAGUUUUCUUCAUAAAGUAAAGAAUUUUUCAGUGCCUUAGUGCCUUGCAAGUCUUACCAAAAGCAGGAUGCUUAGGGUGCCUCCUGUGUCCUGCUGAUUUGCCUUAUCUUCAAAUGUGCCUCUGCACAUUUGGUUGUCCUCCAGGACACAGACAUGACUGACAUUGUCAGUCACUGAAAUUAUUUUCCUGGCCUCUUAGAGAAGGUUAAUUUUAUCUGCUCUUUUCUCCUGGCUUAAUUCUGUAUUCUUUAAAUGAAAUACAAAUGCAGAGCUGCCAUAAUCCUUGUUUUCUGUCACAGUUUGUUGCCUACCUGCUAUGUGAAAAGCAGAUUUCUGUUUUGAUAAUCACAGUUUGCCUAUAGACUGCAUGGCAGGGGCUACAUGUUGCUUUCAUUCAGACUACCCUGUUUUCAAUAUAACCUCCCAAUCUUUUUCACCUGUUGGCCUUAACCUUCCACAAGCAAUGAGAAGACCACUAAGAGUUGUGAAGUCUUAUUUCCUCCUUGCUUCCAUAAGGUCAUCAAAUUGCAUACAUCACAUAUUGACUGUGUCUGUUUUGCCAUUUAAUUUUGUUCAAUAGCUAUAUCACACAUGGAGGUAAAGUAUGAACAUCUGCUUCAGUACAAGAGCUUCAAGACCAGUCAAAGUCAUUGUUAUAAUUUCACCUUAGAAACUUGUAAAGUCUGCAUCCACCAUUCUACUGGGAAAUAGGCAUUACUGUAGUCUAUGUUUAACAACCCACUGCUUAACCCAUUGCUGCACACCGAUGUGUCAUGAAAAAUAUACUGGGAUUUAAAGACUACAAUAACUUUUCUACCCAUGAUGUUGAAGAAGGGAAAGAUCUGGAACUUGUAAAAGAUUAGGUGGUUUUCAAAAACUCAGCCAUUUUUCAGGAAGCACUGACUUUUAAAGUCCAUUUUUGGAAAAAUAUUAAAGCUGGCCUUUCUAUUACACCAUUCAAGUAUUAAAUAUGUUUUAAGUGAGGGGUUUUCUUCUGCAUGUUAAAUUUAUCUUCCAGACAUCACUCCUUUUGGUACUGUAACUAGAAGAUGAAAUUAUAAAAGACACUAAAUUACACAGUCUGAGAUAUUCUGGCUAAUGUCUCUAUUUUAAAAGCCAAUAAACACAGUGGUAUUUACAACUCUUGCCUGGA